CCAUGUUCCUGGCGCUGCGUGUCCAACUGCUCCACCGGGGACGGAUGACGACACAUGACGUCACCCCACGAGGACCAUGGGAAAUGGCCUUGGGACUGCUGGGGCCAAUCCCAGCUGCAUUCAGGUGAAGGCGGGGGACAUCCUGGACAGGUUGCCAGACUGUUGCAGGGCCACACUCUCACAUUCACACCUUGCAGCUCUAUUAGGUACCUUAUUGGAUUAUUAAAAGGCAGUUAUGAUUCAAUUUUA
Molecule: long non-coding RNA, 249 nt
Organism: Oryzias latipes (Japanese medaka)
Lineage: Eukaryota; Metazoa; Chordata; Actinopteri; Beloniformes; Adrianichthyidae
Source: RefSeq, a predicted model, not a curated record